Molecule: ribosomal RNA, 417 nt
Filed under: uncultured bacterium
Lineage: Bacteria
Description: bacterial SSU rRNA
Rfam family: Bacterial small subunit ribosomal RNA
Source: RNAcentral
GGAAUAUUGGUCAAUGGACGCAAGUCUGAACCAGCCAUGCCGCGUGGAGGAUGAAGGUCCUCUGGAUUGUAAACUUCUUUUAUCGGCGAAGAAACCCAUACUUUCUAGUGUGGUUGACGGUACCCGAUGAAUAAGCACCGGCUAACUCCGCUCCAGCCGCCGCGGUAAUACGGAGGGUGCAAGCGUUAUCCGGAUUCACUGGGUUUAAAGGGUGCGUAGGUGGGUUGGUAAGUCAGUGGUGAAAACUCCGGGCUUAACUCGGAAACUGCCGUUGAUACUAUCAAUCUUGAAUGUUGUGGAGGUAAGCGGAAUAUGUCAUGUAGCGGUGAAAUGCUUAGAUAUGACAUAGAACACCGAUAGCGAAGGCAGCUUGCUACACAAUAAUUGACACUGAGGCACGAAAGCGUGGGGAUCAAA